AGGGUUCGAUUCUGGCUCAGGAUGAACGCUGGCGGCGUGCUUAACACAUGCAAGUCGAACGAAGCGUCCCGCCCGAUGAAGUGGAGUGCUUGCACAAAGCAGAAUCAAUUGGGAUGACUUAGUGGCGGACGGGUGAGUAACGCGUGGGUAACCUGCCUUACACAGGGGGACAACAGUUGGAAACGACUGCUAAUACCGCAUAACCCGCUAGUACCGCAUGGUACAGACGGAAAAGAUUUAUCGGUGUAAGAUGGACCCGCGUCUGAUUAGCUAGUUGGUGAGGUAACGGCUCACCAAGGCGACGAUCAGUAGCCGGCCUGAGAGGGUGAACGGCCACAUUGGGACUGAGACACGGCCCAAACUCCUACGGGAGGCAGCAGUGGGGAAUAUUGGACAAUGGGGGAAACCCUGAUCCCAGCGACGCCGCGUGAGUGAAGAAGUAUUUCGGUAUGUAAAGCUCUAUCAGCAGGGAAGAAAAUGACGGUACCUGACUAAGAAGCCCCGGCUAACUACGUGCCAGCCGCCGC
This 527-nucleotide ribosomal RNA is filed under the name uncultured bacterium. RNAcentral's name for it is "bacterial SSU rRNA". It matches the Rfam family "Bacterial small subunit ribosomal RNA", at positions 8 to 518 of the family's 1533-position model. The record is from RNAcentral.